AACGAACGCUGGCGGCAUGCCUAACACAUGCAAGUCGAACGAUGCCUUCGGGCAUAGUGGCGCACGGGUGCGUAACGCGUGGGAAUCUGCCUUUCGGUUCGGAAUAACUCAGGGAAACUUGAGCUAAUACCGGAUAACGUCGCAAGACCAAAGAUUUAUCACCGAAAGAUGAGCCCGCGUAGGAUUAGCUAGUUGGUGAGGUAAAGGCUCACCAAGGCGACGAUCCUUAGCUGGUCUGAGAGGAUGAUCAGCCACACUGGGACUGAGACACGGCCCAGACUCCUACGGGAGGCAGCAGUGGGGAAUAGUGGACAAUGGGCGAAAGCCUGAUCCAGCAAUGCCGCGUGAGUGAGGAAGGCCUUAGGGUUGUAAAGCUCUUUUACCCGGGAAGAUAAUGACGGUACCGGGAGAAUAAGCCCCGGCUAACUCCGUGC
This 434-nucleotide ribosomal RNA is filed under the name uncultured bacterium. RNAcentral describes it as "partial 16S ribosomal RNA". It matches the Rfam family "Bacterial small subunit ribosomal RNA", at positions 29 to 508 of the family's 1533-position model. The record is from RNAcentral.